RNAcentral lists this ribosomal RNA (253 nucleotides) under uncultured bacterium. Its description in RNAcentral is "partial 16S ribosomal RNA". It matches the Rfam family "Bacterial small subunit ribosomal RNA", at positions 524 to 776 of the family's 1533-position model. The record is from RNAcentral.
UACGGAGGGCGCAAGCGUUGUUCGGAAUUACUGGGCGUAAAGCGCGUGUAGGUGGCCUGGCAAGUCGGGUGUGAAAUCCCGGAGCUCAACUCCGGAACUGCAUCCGAUACUGCCAAGCUCGAGUCUCGGAGAGGAUGGCGGAAUUUCCGGUGUAGAGGUGAAAUUCGUAGAUAUCGGAAGGAACACCAGUGGCGAAGGCGGCCGUCUGGACGAUGACUGACACUGAGACGCGAAAGCGUGGGGAACAAACAGG